Molecule: non-coding RNA, 70 nt
Organism: Blyttiomyces helicus
Lineage: Eukaryota; Fungi; Chytridiomycota; Chytridiomycetes
Source: the annotation of a GenBank genome assembly
GGCUGCUUGGUGUAAGGGGAACACGUCCGUAUCUACGCGGGGGUAGGGGGUUCGAGUCCCUCAGCAGCUU